RNAcentral lists this unclassified non-coding RNA (327 nucleotides) under Hevea brasiliensis (rubber tree). The record is from RNAcentral. Lineage: Eukaryota; Viridiplantae; Streptophyta; Magnoliopsida; Malpighiales; Euphorbiaceae.
CUUCGUCCCAUCUCUAAUUCUGUAAUAGAAGCAGAAUCAUAGAGCCUUGCAUUCCAUUCCAUCACUAUCAAUGGAGGCAACAUUGAAGCUCCGGUUCUUUGCGAUCGCUCUCAUGGCCGUGAUUUUGAUGGGUUCUGUCGUUAAGAGGGUUGCGGCUGCCGAUGCACCGGCACCUAGCCCCACCUCCGGUGCCACCGUCUCUGCCCCUGCUGCUGCUGUUUCCUGCCUGACUGCUCUGGCUUUGGGGAUUCUCUUCUGCUGAGCUGCUGAGAUCGAGGUUUCCGUUUAUAUGUAUGUAUCAGAUGUAUUCUUUUGGUGUUGGUUGGA